Molecule: non-coding RNA, 216 nt
Filed under: Kutzneria viridogrisea DSM 43870
Lineage: Bacteria; Bacillati; Actinomycetota; Actinomycetes; Pseudonocardiales; Pseudonocardiaceae
Source: RNAcentral
AGGCUCACAACCGCCAGUGGUUCGCCGUGCCCGCGGUCUGGGUGCGGCGAGGCAACAGGGAACCCGGUGCGAUUCCGGGACUGCCCCGCAGCGGUGAGUGGGAACGACCGCCGUCAUGAAGCACUGGGCGAGAGCCUGGGAAGCGACGGCCAGUAGGUCCGGGUCCGUGCCCGGGUGCCCGCGAGUCCGAAGACCUGCCACAGGUGCGCGUGCCGC